Molecule: long non-coding RNA, 299 nt
Organism: Carassius auratus (goldfish)
Lineage: Eukaryota; Metazoa; Chordata; Actinopteri; Cypriniformes; Cyprinidae
Exons: 3
Source: RefSeq, a predicted model, not a curated record
AGAAAACACACAGAUAGCAAGAGAAAGAGUUGCUCGUUAGAUUUGAUGCAUGCCAUGUCCCAGAAAACAUUUUUCAUUUACAAGCUUAGCAAAAAAAUAAUACUUAUAAAUCUCUUCUUAGUGCACAAGACUGCAAGUCACACUGAACAGCAGAUUGUUGUCUCAAGCCAGUGCUGAUCAAUGACAGUUUAGCUGCAGUCUUUCAGAGAAGAGAGGAAAGAUGAGUCUCUCACAGAAACAGAGUGUAAGAUCAGACUCACAUGUGUCCAGCUCUGUGUCUGUGAGGAGUGACCGGUCAA